AAAUGUAAAAUAUAGAUAUUAUGCAAAUAGAAAGUAUAAGAAAAGGAAAUACACAAUUUAAAAAAAUGGAAAAAGUACAUUAGUAUUUAAACAUCUAUCUUAAAAUGUAAAUCAAUCUUAAAAUAUAAAAUUAUUAGUAAAUAGAAAGUAUAAGAAAUAUAUAUUUCUAAUAUAAAGAAAAAUCAAUAAUAAGUAAAUAUAAAAUAUAAUCCCGAAAGAUGACACGUGGCAUAAAAUAUAGUUUUACAUUUUAAUAUUAUUUAUUUUCGAAAAAUAUAAAAAUAUGUAAACAUACAGCAUAAAAAAAUAGAAAAACUACAUUAAACAUAUGUAUAAUUACUAUUUUUCACUUAAAAAAAAAGACGGCUUAUCUCCAUAAUGUAAC
Molecule: long non-coding RNA, 385 nt
Filed under: Brassica rapa (field mustard)
Lineage: Eukaryota; Viridiplantae; Streptophyta; Magnoliopsida; Brassicales; Brassicaceae
Description: long non-coding RNA (BRAP_LNC003439)
Source: RNAcentral